Molecule: transfer RNA, 75 nt
Filed under: Geoglobus ahangari
Lineage: Archaea; Methanobacteriati; Methanobacteriota; Archaeoglobi; Archaeoglobales; Archaeoglobaceae
Description: tRNA-Tyr
Rfam family: tRNA
About the family: Transfer RNA (tRNA) molecules are approximately 80 nucleotides in length. Their secondary structure includes four short double-helical elements and three loops (D, anti-codon, and T loops).
Source: RNAcentral
CCCGCCUUAGCUCAGUGGUAGAGCGCGGGACUGUAGAUCCCGUGGUCCCCGGUUCGAAUCCGGGAGGCGGGACCA